This 468-nucleotide ribosomal RNA is filed under the name uncultured bacterium. Its description in RNAcentral is "partial 16S ribosomal RNA". It matches the Rfam family "Bacterial small subunit ribosomal RNA", at positions 28 to 507 of the family's 1533-position model. The record is from RNAcentral.
GACGAACGCUGGCGGCGUGCUUAACACAUGCAAGUCGAACGGAAAGGCCCUGCUUUUGUUGGGUGCUCGAGUGGCGAACGGGUGAGUAACACGUGAGUAACCUGCCCUUGACUUUGGGAUAACUCCAGGAAACUGGGGCUAAUACCGGAUAUGAGCUCUUGCUGCAUGGUGUGGGUUGGAAAGUUUCGGCGGUUGGGGAUGGACUCGCGGCUUAUCAGCUUGUUGGUGGGGUAGUGGCUUACCAAGGCUUUGACGGGUAGCCGGCCUGAGAGGGUGACCGGCCACAUUGGGACUGAGGUACGGCCCAGACUGCUACGGGAGGCAGCAGUGGGGAAUAUUGCACAAUGGGCGGAAGCCUGAUGCAGCAACGCCGCGUGCGGGAUGACGGCCUUCGGGUUGUAAACCGCUUUCGCCUGUGACGAAGCGUGAGUGACGGUAAUGGGUAAAGAAGCACCGGCUAACUACGUG